UCAUGAAGAGAUCUGAACCCUAUACCCCCUUCCUCAUGCGGCAUGCAUAGGUUAGACCAUGAGGACCAAUGUCUUGAAUUUCCUCCCACGUUGCUGCUCCAGAAAAAUUUGGCAAAAAUGCUAUGCAAUUUGUUAAUCACAUAGCUUGUUGGAUUAACUGCAGAUAACAUAUGUAUUGGGAUACUCUGCAGGACAUUUGAAAUCAAGACUGCCCUACCUCCGACUGACAGUAAUUUGCCUUUCCAUGUCUGCAGUUUGUCCAUAACCUUUGUAAUUAAACCCUGAUAGUAAUCAUUCCUUCUUCUGGCAUAAAAGAUAGGACAUCCCAGGUAUGUCAUAGGGAAAAAUUGUUUUCCUAUACCAGUAAUUCUCUCCACCUUGUUAAUUACCUCAUUGUUGGUUGAAUGAUGCAUAUAAAUAGCUGAUUUGCCUUUGUUUACCAUUUGACCAGAUGCUGAUUCAUAAGCAUUCAGAACAUCCAUCACAAGUCUGAGGGAAUUUGUAUCAGCUGAGCAGAAAAUGAUAGUAUCAUCUGCAUAUGCAAGAUGGUUUAUUUUUGGGCUCCAUUUUGGUAAUCGAAAACCAUUGAAAUCAAUGCUGAUUCAUAAGCAUGCAGAACAUCCAUCAUAAGUCUGAGGGAAUUUGUAUCAGCUGAGCAGAAAAUGAUAGUAUCAUCUGCAUAUGCAAGAUGGUUUAUUUUUGGGCUCCAUUUUGGUAAACGAAAUACAUGGAAAUCCAUGUUAGUAUGCAAUGCAUUCAAACCUCUAGAUAAUGCUUCUGCUGCUAGAAUGAAUAAUGUUGGAGAUAGCGGGUCUCCCUGCUUAACUCCCC
Molecule: long non-coding RNA, 831 nt
Filed under: Nicotiana benthamiana
Lineage: Eukaryota; Viridiplantae; Streptophyta; Magnoliopsida; Solanales; Solanaceae
Description: long non-coding RNA (NBEN_LNC014968)
Source: RNAcentral